UAUGGAGUGUAGAAAGAAACAGCCCAACGUGUAACUAAGCUUAUAUUGAGGGCCCAAAUAAACUCGAAUGUGAAAGGGCUGAAUGUACCUUGCAUUUUAGGAAGGAAAGUGGUACCUAUGGAAGGCGAGGACGGCGUCUGCAUCAGUAUUCAGUAUUCAGCUUUUCAAAAGAUGAGAUUAAAGAGGUUAAAGUAACUACAAACAAGACAAGAACAAGAAAGCUUUGAUUGAAAGGAUAAUUUCUACUACUGUAUUAAGAAAAUUCUGCAUGUAUUCACACAAAGUUGUUCAAAAUACAAUGCACAUACAGUAAGCACAAGACUUGACACCAGUUGAGACAUUGAAGUGGAAGCCACAAAGGUUGGUCUCUGGUGGGAACAAAAUAGGUGGAGAAGUUGAGAAGAUGCAUCCAUCCUAACUAUAUUUCUCCUUGUAUCUGAGAAAAAAGAACCUAAACAGGCCCCUCAAAAUUGGGUUAGAUUGCUAUUGAUUAACAAAAAAGUUGGAAAGCAAAAUUCUUUCGAGUUCGAU
Molecule: long non-coding RNA, 531 nt
Organism: Vigna radiata var. radiata (mung bean)
Lineage: Eukaryota; Viridiplantae; Streptophyta; Magnoliopsida; Fabales; Fabaceae
Exons: 2
Source: RefSeq, a predicted model, not a curated record